Molecule: ribosomal RNA, 251 nt
Filed under: uncultured bacterium
Lineage: Bacteria
Description: partial 16S ribosomal RNA
Rfam family: Bacterial small subunit ribosomal RNA
Source: RNAcentral
GCGAAGCCGCGAGGUAGAGCAAAUCUCAAAAAGACAUCUCAGUUCAGAUUGCAGGCUGCAACUCGCCUGCAUGAAGUCGGAAUUGCUAGUAAUCGUAGGUCAGCAUACUACGGUGAAUACGUUCCCGGGCCUUGUACACACCGCCCGUCAAACCAUGAGAGUUGGCAACACCCGAAGUCGGUAGUCUAACCGCAAGGAGGACGCCGCCGAAGGUGGGGUUGAUGAUUAGGGUUAAGUCGUAACAAGGUAGC